GGAAAAAUUAAUAUUGUUAAAAUGCCCAUACUAUCCAAAGCAAUCCACAGAUUCAAUGUAAUCCCUAUCAAAAUUCCAAUGACGUUUUUCACAGGAAUAGAUAAAGCAAUCCUAAAAUUUAUUUGGAACCACAAAAGACCCCGAAUAUCUAAAGCACUCUUGAGGAAGAAAAACAAAGG
This is a long non-coding RNA of Aethalodelphis obliquidens (Pacific white-sided dolphin), 179 nucleotides long. RefSeq lists it as uncharacterized. NCBI's taxonomy places the organism in Eukaryota, Metazoa, Chordata, Mammalia, Artiodactyla, Delphinidae. The record is from RefSeq and is a predicted model, not a curated record. The transcript is spliced from 4 exons.